GCCAGUGUGGCAUACUGGUUUGAGUAUUGGACUAUGACUCUGGACAUCAGGGUUCAAAUCCCCACUGGGC
This 70-nucleotide transfer RNA is filed under the name Phrynosoma platyrhinos (Desert horned lizard). RNAcentral's name for it is "tRNA-OTHER". Lineage: Eukaryota; Metazoa; Chordata; Lepidosauria; Squamata; Phrynosomatidae. The record is from RNAcentral.